UGAGCAAUCUGCCCUUCUCAUCGGAAUAAGCGUUGGAAACGACGUCUAAUGCCGAAUACGACCUCCUUUCGCAUGAUCGGAGGUGGAAAGCUCGGCCCCCCGGAGAAGGAUGAGCUCGCGGCCUAUCAGCUAGUUGGUGUGGGUAAUGGCCCACCAAGGCGACGACGGGUAGCCGGCCUGAGAGGGUGACCGGCCACACUGGGACUGAGACACGGCCCAGACUCCUACGGUAGGCAG
RNAcentral lists this ribosomal RNA (237 nucleotides) under uncultured bacterium. RNAcentral's name for it is "partial 16S ribosomal RNA". It matches the Rfam family "Bacterial small subunit ribosomal RNA", at positions 118 to 351 of the family's 1533-position model. The record is from RNAcentral.